CCUACGGGAGGCAGCAGUGGGGAAUUUUGCGCAAUGGGGGAAACACUGACGCAGCAACGCCGCGUGAGUGAUGAAGGCCUUCGGGUCGUAAAGCUCUGUCAGAGGGAAAGAAAUGCGGGGUGUUAAUACCAUUUCCGCUUGACGGUACCCUCAAAGGAAGCACCGGCUAACUCCGUGCCAGCAGCCGCGGUAAU
Molecule: ribosomal RNA, 194 nt
Filed under: uncultured Geobacter sp.
Lineage: Bacteria; Pseudomonadati; Thermodesulfobacteriota; Desulfuromonadia; Geobacterales; Geobacteraceae
Description: partial 16S ribosomal RNA
Rfam family: Bacterial small subunit ribosomal RNA
Source: RNAcentral